CCAGCCGAGUUGGUCUAGUGGUAUGACGUCCGCCUCACAUCAAUUUGAUUCAAGACUGUUGAUGCUAGAUCGCGGCAGGUCGCGAGUUCGAUCCUCGCACUCGGUAU
Non-coding RNA from Periconia digitata, 107 nucleotides. The record is from the annotation of a GenBank genome assembly. NCBI's taxonomy places the organism in Eukaryota, Fungi, Ascomycota, Dothideomycetes, Pleosporales, Periconiaceae.